This 300-nucleotide long non-coding RNA is filed under the name Vitis vinifera (wine grape). Its description in RNAcentral is "long non-coding RNA (VVIN_LNC004647)". Lineage: Eukaryota; Viridiplantae; Streptophyta; Magnoliopsida; Vitales; Vitaceae. The record is from RNAcentral.
UCGCCCAGAUUCUACCCUUCUAUGGUACUCGCCCAGAUCCUACCAUUCUCCAGUACUCGCCUGCAUUCUACCUUUCCCUGUACUAGCCCAAACCCUUUCCCUUUACUCGCCACGAUUCUACACUUCUUCGGUACUCGCCCGAACCUUUUUCCUCUACUCGCCCCGAUUAUACACUUCUCCGGUACUCGCCUGGAUUCUAACUUUACCGGUACUUGCUCGGACCUUUUUUCAGUACUCGCCCGGUUUCUACCCUUCUCAGGUACUACCCUCUAUCUUUUCAAGGUACUCGCUCGGACUCUU